Long non-coding RNA from Populus euphratica (Euphrates poplar), 447 nucleotides. RefSeq lists it as uncharacterized. The record is from RefSeq and is a predicted model, not a curated record. Lineage: Eukaryota; Viridiplantae; Streptophyta; Magnoliopsida; Malpighiales; Salicaceae. The transcript has 2 exons.
ACUUUCAAUCACCCUCUCAAUAAAUUAUCAUCCCCGCGUACAGGACAUCACGUGCUCUCUGUGUACAGCAGACGAGCAAGGAUCGUUAGCCCCAUCAGAUGUUUUCAAAUGGUGGUACAAUAUCCGGCUGUUAUGAUAUUGCAAUUGACAUGACCGACGAAGGCCAGAAAAAAAUCCGGCCAAUUAAAGGAACUGACGAACCGUGAGCAGGGACGGACACAACAUGUCAAGAUUUAGAACUUGACACCACCUUCAUAUAAACCUGCAAUACCACAGACCAUGCGCUAUAUACAUUCACAUGUCCAUGAGGACGUUAGGUAGUUGGGGCCUGGGGGCGUGUAUUAUUUGCAAGAGAAUGAAGAGGAUGCAAAGAUAUUAUCAUUAUUGAGCCCAAUUGUGCUGCAGAAAGAUCUCUCAACUUCGUUUUCAAGAAAUGUGAUUACAAUC